UACUCGUAGCCCGUUGGGAUGUGCUGUCAGCAUGCCGGUUCGGUAUCUCAUUCGUAGCACCAAUAGUAGUCUUUUUCGCCCGAUGUUGAGGCAUUCUGACCUAUAUGCAUCAAAUCACAGCAAAUUCAUAAAAAGAAAGCUCACCGAAUUAAAAUAUUUUUUAUAAGAAUAAUCAUCACAUUCUUUACAUCUAACGUCCCAAUGUCCCUAGUGUCUACCCACCUAUACUCAUAUCGGGUAUGAUUCUGUCUUAGAUUCUAUCCAACCUGGCUUUGAUACCACUUAAGAUGUCACGCCCCCUUCCCGAGAUCGCGGGCCGGGGGUCGCGCCAACCGCCGCACACCUGUAGGAAACUCUCCCCACGAGCAUGCAAGGCAUCUAAACCAAACACCUCAAUUAUGCAAUUCUAAAAUAAUUUAACUGAAUAAAUGCAAUCUUAUUCCAUUGACUAACUCAAGUCAUAAGGUCUCACAAGUCUAAAUACGCAGCGGAAUAAUCAUUUACCAACAUGCAGAAACCUAGUUCUUAAAAUAACAAAAGUCCACCAAUCAUAAUAAAUGUCCAUAAUAACAAAUCAACUUAAAUAACCCUAAUCUAAGAUAACUUGUGCCACAAUCCUUCUAGUCGCUCUCUCCAAUUUGAAUCCCCAAUAGAUUAGUUCUCGAAAUCUGUAAAACAACAAGAGAUAAUAUAAUGAGCU
RNAcentral lists this long non-coding RNA (700 nucleotides) under Phoenix dactylifera (date palm). RNAcentral describes it as "long non-coding RNA (PDAC_LNC006929)". The record is from RNAcentral. Lineage: Eukaryota; Viridiplantae; Streptophyta; Magnoliopsida; Arecales; Arecaceae.